CUUAUAUAAAUCUUCAAAUUACUGAAUAAAUUUGCAAAUGGCACUCUUAAGCAAAACAUCCUUUUCUUUCCUAC
This 74-nucleotide long non-coding RNA is filed under the name Microtus ochrogaster (prairie vole). Its description in RNAcentral is "Adaptive response 33 conserved region 1 (ENSMOCG00000011695.1)". It matches the Rfam family "Adaptive response 33 conserved region 1". Lineage: Eukaryota; Metazoa; Chordata; Mammalia; Rodentia; Cricetidae. The record is from RNAcentral.